UACAGAGGUCCCAAGCGUUGUUCGGAUUCAUUGGGCGUAAAGGGUGCGUAGGCGGCGCGGUAAGUCGGGUGUGAAAUCUCGGAGCUUAACUCCGAAACUGCAUUCGAUACUGCCGUGCUUGAGGACUGGAGAGGAGACUGGGAUUUACGGUGUAGCGGUGAAAUGCGUAGAUAUCGUAAGGAAGACCAGUGGCGAAGGCGGGUCUCUGGACAGUUCCUGACGCUGAGGCACGAAGGCCAGGGGAGCAAACGGG
This 253-nucleotide ribosomal RNA is filed under the name uncultured bacterium. RNAcentral's name for it is "partial 16S ribosomal RNA". It matches the Rfam family "Bacterial small subunit ribosomal RNA", at positions 524 to 776 of the family's 1533-position model. The record is from RNAcentral.